CGUCGCCAAUAAUUUAAAAUUAAAUUUUCGAAGUUAUCUGUAGCGAUGAAACAACUUCGUCGCUACAUAUGACUUACGAGUCCUUCUAGGGCAUGGUGGAGUUAAAAAAAUCCGAAACAUAUACGCUUCCUCUCGCUCUCUUCGUCCGAGGGCUUUCUCCUCUCUGGCAGCUCGCUCCUCUCCGCCAGCUUUAUGGGGUUUUACGCAGUGUCUAUUUACAUCUCAGUCCCUCCUUGUUGUACCUAAUUUAUCAUCACAAGAGAGUUUGCUAUCUCUUUGAAUCGCUAUGCCUUGAAAAGUAUACAAAGCCUACCUGGAGCUGAAGUUGGUAAAUUUGGGGGUCAAGGGAUACUUGCACUGGCACACAUUGUUACGCAUGAAGAGGCAAGCCUAGCAUAUUCAAUUAAUCUUCAUUGUUGGCAGUUUUAAAAUUGUUUCAAUCCAUCUUGUUUAGAGAUUUGCUUGUGGUUUCUCAUCUUAGUUGGUGAUAGCAUGUUCCUUUUUUGCUUAGUAGCUGUUGAAGGCCAUUAAGUUAGAAGGUCAUUCUCCCAUGGAUGCUAUAAUGCCAAGAGAUAUUUUUCUAUUGCAAGAUGCCUCCAGUCCAAGUCACACCCUUGAUCUUACUAUUUGUAUCGUGGAUCCAUAGUACUUGGUUUAACAAUGAGCUAGUUUAAAAGAGAAAAUGAGAGGGACUUGGAUGUUUCAACUCUGACGUAUUACAAGACCAUCGGAAGAGGAGAGAAGAAGAGAAGAGUUUAUGGCCUUGAAGAAACACGAUUAAGGCCUUUAGCAUACUUUUGAUCCUGAUGAACUUCACCAUCAAGCAUCACAUUAGUUAACUUUGUUUUCCUGACUCUAUGUUAUUAGUUGAAGAACAAUAUGGAUGUUGUUUAUGUUUUAGGAUUUAUGUAUUUCUAGAUCUAUUUGUUAAUCUUUAGAUUGCUAUUUAUAUGAAA
This is a long non-coding RNA of Lycium ferocissimum, 956 nucleotides long. RefSeq lists it as uncharacterized. NCBI's taxonomy places the organism in Eukaryota, Viridiplantae, Streptophyta, Magnoliopsida, Solanales, Solanaceae. The record is from RefSeq and is a predicted model, not a curated record. The transcript has 4 exons.